UACAGAGGUCCCGAGCGUUGUUCGGAUUCACUGGGCGUAAAGGGUGCGCAGGUGGCUGUGUAAGUUUGAUGUGAAAUCUCCGGGCUCAACCCGGAAAUGGCAUUGAAUACUAUGCAGCUUGAGGGUUGGAGGGGGGACUGGAAUUCUCGGUGUAGCAGUGAAAUGCGUAGAUAUCGAGAGGAACACCGGUGGCGAAGGCGAGUCCCUGGACAACACCUGACACUGAGGCACGAAAGCUAGGGGAGCAAACAGG
This 253-nucleotide unclassified non-coding RNA is filed under the name uncultured Verrucomicrobiota bacterium. Its description in RNAcentral is "uncultured Verrucomicrobia bacterium contains 16S-23S intergenic spacer region". It matches the Rfam family "Bacterial small subunit ribosomal RNA", at positions 524 to 776 of the family's 1533-position model. Lineage: Bacteria; Pseudomonadati; Verrucomicrobiota. The record is from RNAcentral.